GAUGAACGCUGGCGGCGUGCUUAACACAUGCAAGUCGAACGGAAAGGCCCAAGCUUGCUUGGGUACUCGAGUGGCGAACGGGUGAGUAACACGUGGGUGAUCUGCCCUGCACUUCGGGAUAAGCCUGGGAAACUGGGUCUAAUACCGGAUAGGACCACUUCUUGGAUGUUGUGGUGGAAAGUUUUUUCGGUGUGGGAUGUGCUCGCGGCCUAUCAGCUUGUUGGUGGGGUAAUGGCCUACCAAGGCGUCGACGGGUAGCCGGCCUGUGAGGGUGUACGGCCCCAUUGGGGCUGGGAGACGGCCCCGACUCCUCCGGGGGGGAGCAGUGGGGAAUAUUGCACAAUGGGCGCAAGCCUGAUGCAGCGACGCCGCGUGGGGGAUGACGGCCUUCGGGUUGUAAACUCCUUUCGCUAGGGACGAAGCGUUUUUGUGACGGUACCUGGAGAAGAAGCACCGGCUAACUACGUG
Molecule: ribosomal RNA, 468 nt
Filed under: uncultured bacterium
Lineage: Bacteria
Description: partial 16S ribosomal RNA
Rfam family: Bacterial small subunit ribosomal RNA
Source: RNAcentral